Salmo salar (Atlantic salmon) is the source of this 886-nucleotide long non-coding RNA. RefSeq lists it as uncharacterized. The record is from RefSeq and is a predicted model, not a curated record. Lineage: Eukaryota; Metazoa; Chordata; Actinopteri; Salmoniformes; Salmonidae.
CCGCUUCCCUUUCAUUUCAAUCGGGGACCUUUGGGCGGUACGAAGGUGGCGAGAGAGGCGGUGAAAAAGUUUAACUUUUUACAACGGCGACCGCUGGGCGAUGACCAAUCAUAUCGAGUGGUUCCCAUGACGAAUUUGACGCUAUACGACCCAAGGCUGGAGACUUUCUUCAACAAAGAUGGCUGACAAAAAUACUAGGAUGGAAGCAAAUAGACUCCUGAAACAACCAGCAAACCAGGCUGUCGUCUUGUGAAACAGUGGAUGUAAAGAAUCUAACUAGCUAAAGCAUUUACUGCAAAUUUAAUGUACAAUUUUGUAAGCUUGCCUUGCUAUUUGCCGAGGAUAAAAAAAUACCUGCAUGCCUAUGGAUGUGUAGCUAGCCAUCUAGCCGAUCUGUGUAUGGACCCAAACGUUUGGUAUACAUAUUAGUUCAGAACCGAAUUAUAUAUUUUUUUAACUAGGCAAGUCCGUUAAGAAAAAAAUAUUAUUUACAAUGAGGGCCUACCCCUGCGACGCUGGGCCGCCCUAUGGGACUUCCAAUCAAGGCCAGAUGUGAUGGAUUCGAACCAGGUUCUGCGGUGACGCCUCUUGCACUGGGAUGCAGUGUCUUAGACCACUGCGCCACUCAGGAGCCUAUCAUAGCCAGUUGUAUCAACUUCAAAACAGUCUGGAUGACAUUAAUGACGCCUAUGGAUUGAGUAGAAUAUAAUAACUUUGUGCCAAGGAUGCAAGUUGUAUAUACAUGUAGUUAUUACCAUGCAUGAGAUCCCCACAUUGUAGCCUGUAAAUUUAAUAUAGUCACUGAUCAUGUACUCUACCUUGGCAAAUAAAGGUGCAGUUCAGGUAUGAAUGUCUUUUGAGAUAAUCCAAUACCAGGAAUAUCACA